Molecule: transfer RNA, 77 nt
Filed under: Candidatus Saccharimonadota bacterium
Lineage: Bacteria; Candidatus Saccharimonadota
Description: tRNA-Arg
Rfam family: tRNA
About the family: Transfer RNA (tRNA) molecules are approximately 80 nucleotides in length. Their secondary structure includes four short double-helical elements and three loops (D, anti-codon, and T loops).
Source: RNAcentral
GCACCCGUAGCUCAGUGGAUUAGAGCGUCUGUCUUCGGAACAGAAAGUCGCAGGUUCGAAUCCUGCCGGGUGUACCA